CCUACGGGAGGCAGCAGUGGGGAAUUUUGGACAAUGGGCGAAAGCCUGAUCCAGCAAUGCCGCGUGAGUGAAGAAGGCCUUCGGGUUGUAAAGCUCUUUUGUCAGGGAAGAAACGGUGGGAGCUAAUAUCUCCUGCUAAUGACGGUACCUGAAGAAUAAGCACCGGCUAACUACGUGCCAGCAGCCGCGGUAAUACGUAGGGUGCAAGCGUUAAUCGGAAUUACUGGGCGUAAAGCGUGCGCAGGCGGUUUUGUAAGUCUGAUGUGAAAUCCCCGGGCUCAACCUGGGAAUUGCAUUGGAGACUGCAAGGCUAGAAUCUGGCAGAGGGGGGUAGAAUUCCACGUGUAGCAGUGAAAUGCGUAGAUAUGUGGAGGAACACCGAUGGCGAAGGCAGCCCCCUGGGUCAAGAUUGACGCUCAUGCACGAAAGCGUGGGGAGCAAACAGGAUUAGAUACCCUGGUAGUCCACGCCCUAAACGAUGUCUACUAGUUGUCGGGUCUUAAUUGACUUGGUAACGCAGCUAACGCGUGAAGUAGACCGCCUGGGGAGUACGGUCGCAAGAUUAAAACGUCAAAGGAAUUGACGG
Molecule: ribosomal RNA, 586 nt
Filed under: uncultured bacterium
Lineage: Bacteria
Description: bacterial SSU rRNA
Rfam family: Bacterial small subunit ribosomal RNA
Source: RNAcentral